ACAUCCAUGGCCGAAUGGAUAAAUCCCCCAACUCAUAAUUGGUGAAAUCACAGGUUCAAUUCUUGUUGGAUGCA
Non-coding RNA from Picea glauca (white spruce), 74 nucleotides. Lineage: Eukaryota; Viridiplantae; Streptophyta; Pinopsida; Pinales; Pinaceae. The record is from Rfam.